AUUGAACGCUGGCGGCAUGCUUUACACAUGCAAGUCGAACGGCAGCGCGGGCUUCGGCCUGGCGGCGAGUGGCGAACGGGUGAGUAAUACAUCGGAACGUGCCCAGUAGUUGGGGAUAGCUCGGCGAAAGCCGGAUUAAUACCGCAUACGACCUGAGGGUGAAAGCGGGGGAUCUUCGGACCUUGCGCUAUUGGACCGGCCGAUGGCAGAUUAGCUAGUUGGUGGGGUAAAGGCCUACCAAGGCGACGAUCCGUAGCUGGUCUGAGAGGACGACCAGCCACACUGGAACUGAGACACGGCCCAGACUCCUACGGGAGGCAGCAGUGGGGAAUUUUGGACAAUGGGCGAAAGCCUGAUCCAGCAAUGCCGCGUGUGUGAUGAAGGCCUUCGGGUUGUAAAGCACUUUUGGCGGGAACGAAAAGGACUGGGCCAAUACCACGGUUCGAUGACGGUACCCGCAGAAUAAGCACCGGCUAACUACGUG
Molecule: ribosomal RNA, 484 nt
Filed under: uncultured bacterium
Lineage: Bacteria
Description: partial 16S ribosomal RNA
Rfam family: Bacterial small subunit ribosomal RNA
Source: RNAcentral